Molecule: non-coding RNA, 226 nt
Organism: Pelobates cultripes (western spadefoot toad)
Lineage: Eukaryota; Metazoa; Chordata; Amphibia; Anura; Pelobatidae
Source: the annotation of a GenBank genome assembly
CUCUGCACUGUGCCGCCCUGACCCAGUAGACCAUAAGGAUCCGACAGACCUCAAUGUUGUACUCUUGCGCAUACUCAAGGCAGCUGGAGAGACCAGGAACUGAAGAGGACCUGCAGAAAGAAGAUGGUGGAGGCUGCAAGGGUCAGGCUGAAGUAAAUAUAACUCACCUUUCCCAUGCAACCCUCGGCCAUUGUACUGCCAGCAGAGCAGUACAACCUUAAAAAAC